AUUUCUCUGUAUGUGCACAGACUCA
Molecule: non-coding RNA, 25 nt
Filed under: Rattus norvegicus (Norway rat)
Lineage: Eukaryota; Metazoa; Chordata; Mammalia; Rodentia; Muridae
Source: RNAcentral